GGGCUUCAUAGUCUUGCAAUUGGAAUGAGUAGAUUUUAAAUCUCUUUACGAGUAUCAAUUGGAGGGCAAGUCUGGUGCCAGCAGCCGCGGUAAUUCCAGCUCCAAUAGCGUAUAUUAAAGUUGUUGCGGUUAAAAAGCUCGUAGUUGGAUUUCUGCCAAGAACGACCGUCCUACCUUCGGGUUUUGGACCGUGUUGAUCGAGGCAUUCUUCUAGAUUCUAUCUAUUCUUAAUUGCUGUAGAAUUGAACUAGAACAUUUACUUUGAGGAAAUUAGAGUGUUUCAAGCAGGCCUAUGCCUUGAAUAUAUUAGCAUGGAAUAAUAAUUUAGGACUUCGGUUCUAUUUUGUUGGUUCUUAGAACUGAAGUAAUGAUUAAUAGGGACAGUCGGGGGCAUUCGUACUCAACCGUCAGAGGUGAAAUUC
RNAcentral lists this ribosomal RNA (422 nucleotides) under uncultured Perkinsea. RNAcentral's name for it is "SSU rRNA". It matches the Rfam family "Eukaryotic small subunit ribosomal RNA", at positions 488 to 919 of the family's 1831-position model. The record is from RNAcentral. Lineage: Eukaryota; Perkinsozoa.